RNAcentral lists this ribosomal RNA (325 nucleotides) under uncultured low G+C Gram-positive bacterium 430ev. RNAcentral describes it as "bacterial SSU rRNA". It matches the Rfam family "Bacterial small subunit ribosomal RNA", at positions 9 to 327 of the family's 1533-position model. The record is from RNAcentral. Lineage: Bacteria; Bacillati; Bacillota.
GAGUUUGAUCCUGGCUCAGGACGAACGCUGGCGGCGUGCUUAACACAUGCAAGUCGAACGGAAAUAGUGGAUUAGUAAUAUGAAGCUAUUUUAGUGGCGGACGGGUGAGUAACACGUGGGUAACCUGCCCUGUGGAGGGGGAUAACACAGAGAAAUCUGUGCUAAUACCGCAUAACAUAACUGAAUCGCAUGGUUUAGUUAUCAAAGAUAUAUUGCCAUAGGAUGGACCCGCGGCCCAUUAGCUAGUUGGUGAGGUAACGGCCCACCAAGGCGACGAUGGGUAGCCGACCUGAGAGGGUGAACGGCCACAUUGGAACUGAGACAC